RNA transcript from Cottoperca gobio, 1046 nucleotides. It is a transcript of the gene named dicarbonyl/L-xylulose reductase, with no coding region annotated. The transcript is spliced from 10 exons. The record is from RefSeq and is a predicted model, not a curated record. Lineage: Eukaryota; Metazoa; Chordata; Actinopteri; Perciformes; Bovichtidae.
UAGACGAACGAGUCACAUGACUGAUCCCUCCUCUUCGGUCUGUAACCGUGUGUGUCUCGUGUGUCUCGUGUAUGUGUGUCUUUUUGCAUAUUUAUCUGCAGCUGAUCUCGGAGGACUUCAACGACCAUGGACAUUUCAUUUGCAGGCAAAAGAGCUCUUGUAACCGGAGCAGGAAAAGAAAAAUCCAAAGUUGUGAAAUGUGUCCAAACACAACCAGUCAUACAACUACAUUAUAGGAUUGGCAGGGCCACGGCUCUGGCUCUGGCACGCUGCGGGGCAAAGGUCACAGCGGUCACACGCACGCAGGCUGACCUGAACAGCCUGGUGCAGGAGUGUGCCUCCAUCACCCCGGUGUGUGUGGACUUGGCAGACUGGGGGGCCACGGAGGCGGCCCUGCAGGACGUCGGCCCCAUCGAUCUGCUGGUGAAUAAUGCUGCCUUUGCCAGUCUGCAGCCGUUUCUUGAGGUCACGCCCAACCAGUUUGACCAGUCAUUCAACGUGAAUGUGAAAGCUGUGCUGCAUGUCUCCCAGAUAGUGGGCCGGGGUAUGAAGGCCAGAGGAGCAGGAGGCUCCAUCGUCAGCGUGUCCAGCCAGGCCUCGCAGUGCGCCCUCAGAGACCACGCUGUCUACUGUGUCACUAAAGCAGCCCUGGACAUGCUGACUAAAGUCAUGGCUCUGGAGCUGGGACCCCACCAGAUCCGUGUGAACAGUGUGAACCCCACUGUGGUGAUGACUGACAUGGGUCGCCUGGGCUGGAGCGACCCCGAAAAAGCCAAGACCAUGACGUCCCGCAUCCCCCUCGGCCGCUUUGCAGCUUAAAGAUCCCCAUCUGUACCGUCAGGAGCUCAUCCCAACAAAAACUAUUUUUAGAAGACUGAUAUUAAUCUCAAAAUAUUGUUCUAGGAUUCUACAUGGAACUGCUCCCAGAGGUGGAGGACGUGGUGAACAGUAUUUUAUUCCUGCUGAGUGAUAAGAGCAACAUGACUAAUGGAGUCACUCUGCCGGUGGACGGAGGCUUCCUGGCAUGCUGAGCAACAUGAGUCUCA